AAAGGGAGACCUAAUUCAGGUAGGAGACGAAAAAAAAGUAGUCCCUACCAAGAAUCAAUCCCAAAAGGUCGGAGCGAGGCGAAAUUGGCUUUCAAACUAGGUUCUGGGUUCAAACAAGACCUGAAUCAGGAACAAGGGCUAUUAGCUCAGGUGGUUAGAGCGCACCCCUGAUAAGGGUGAGGUCCCUGGUUCGAGUCCAGGAUGGCCCACCUGUACAGGUGGCAAAAAGAAAGAAAAGAAGCGAGGAAUCAGCACCUUAUCUUACUUAUAUAGUAAGAGAGAAUGCUGGCUCUGAGUUCAGAGUCCAGAGGAACCUUGAAAACUGCAUAGGGCUAGGUGAAAAAGCCAAAAAAGAAGACCGCAGG
This 365-nucleotide transfer RNA is filed under the name uncultured Microcystis sp. RNAcentral describes it as "partial 16S-23S ribosomal RNA intergenic spacer". The stretch from base 136 to 209 matches the Rfam family "tRNA". Lineage: Bacteria; Bacillati; Cyanobacteriota; Cyanophyceae; Chroococcales; Microcystaceae. The record is from RNAcentral.